UACGUAGGUUUCCCUCGUUUUCAGGCCUUAUUGGGCGUAAAGCGCGCGCAGGCGGUUCCUUAAGGCUGAUGUGAAAGCCCACGGCUCAACCGUGGAGGGUCAUUGGAAACUGGGGGACUUGAGUGCAGAAGAGGAGAGCGGAAUUCCACGUGUAGCGGUGAAAUGCGUAGAGAUGUGGAGGAACACCAGUGGCGAAGGCGGCUCUCUGGUCUGUAACUGACGCUGAGGCGCGAAAGCGUGGGGAGCAAACAGG
RNAcentral lists this ribosomal RNA (253 nucleotides) under uncultured bacterium. RNAcentral describes it as "partial 16S ribosomal RNA". It matches the Rfam family "Bacterial small subunit ribosomal RNA", at positions 524 to 776 of the family's 1533-position model. The record is from RNAcentral.